UACGUAGGGAGCGAGCGUUGUCCGGAUUCAUUGGGCGUAAAGAGCUCGUAGGCGGCUUGGUAAGUCGGAUGUGAAACCUCCAGGCUCAACCUGGAGUCGCCAUCCGAUACUGCCAUGGCUAGAGUCCGGUAGGGGCCCACGGAAUUCCUGGUGUAGCGGUGAAAUGCGCAGAUAUCGGGAGGAACGCCGGUGGCGAAGGCGGUUCUCUGGGCCUGUACUGACGCUGAGGAGCGAAAGCGUGGGGAGCGAACAGG
RNAcentral lists this ribosomal RNA (254 nucleotides) under uncultured bacterium. RNAcentral's name for it is "partial 16S ribosomal RNA". It matches the Rfam family "Bacterial small subunit ribosomal RNA", at positions 524 to 776 of the family's 1533-position model. The record is from RNAcentral.